UCACACAAAAAAAAAAAGCGCCCAGGAGCCGAUUGAUUAAGCACGGACGCAGCGCUCCGACCAUGCCGCACCGGCCCGCGGCUCUCCAGGUGCCGCCGCCGCUCCUGGGUGCGCCACUCUGGGUAACCGUGCGCCAUUUCUGGCCGCUGUGCUGUGGGAUCCACCUCUCUGCAUCAUCAAUCCUCUCCUGCACUUGAUUCACUGCACGCCCGCGCUCAGCCCCAUGGCCUCGCCGUGCCACUCCCACUCCUCUCUCCCGAAUCUGCUUAGAUGGGGUGGAAUCCCUGGCGUGCCCGUCGCCACGAUGAUCUUCACCAGACCCGGCGCCCUCCAAUCGCCAUCUUUGGGGUGCGGGAUGAGCGUGGUUGCGGCGGUAGGUGGGCAACUGCGCAUCUCGUCUGCGCCUACGGCACCUGCGUAACUCGUCGGAGCAACGGCCUCUCCCUCGGCGGCCGCCUACAGCAACUACAGUCUCAAGGUUGCUGCAGAAGAGAUCAAGUGAACAAAGGCAUUUGUUAGGAUGUUCCAACCAUCUGAAAAAUCGGACAAGAGCAACGAUGUAAUGUAUGUGUGUCGGCAGGAUGUGCAGAGCGCAGACUCUUCCAUUUGGCAGUUGGCACUGCUUCAUAUUUAACCACUUUGAAUGCUUCGAGAAACAAAAAGACAAAAAAAGGUGAAAUUCGAUUUUGAGCAUUUCAAUCUUUGUUGAAAUUUGACGGCAUGCUGACACCAGUUGUAUGUUGUAAUUACAAUAUCUUUGUUAAUGCACCAAAUUUACACCCUGCUAGGGCAGUUCCCAAAUUUAUAUAGCUGAGCAUCAUCUCUUUUAGUUGGUGAUGUCCAGGACAUUGGCAAUUUUACUAUUGUCUCUGACAGUGAAGUUCAGGUCAGACACGAUCUACACAUGCCUAUUGGCCAGUCCAAGGCACCGUCAUGCCUGAAUCCAAUUGAUCUGUCCAUCAUAUGGCACCUGAUCAAGGUCAAUGAGUUUUGUCAUGCACGGUCGAGCUACAAAGAUUCAUUCCUUAUAUAAUUGGCCAUUUGAAGGAGGAGAUGCCUGCAAUGAUGGGAAAAGCUAACCUAGAAAAUGAAUUUGCAAAGGAAUGAUGAGCAUUGAAACAACAGAAAAGCCCUACCUUGGCCCGCUGAUACAAGAAAGAAAACUAAUUGCAUCUCCUGAUAAAAGUAUGCAGCUGGACUUGAAGUGACGUGGUGUAAAGAGCUACUGUUCCAUGUAUAUGUGGUCUGUUUUUUGUUGUUAUUUGAUAAUGGAUGCGAUAUUUUGAUUUUUUUAAAUUAUUUCAAUAAAUGCUUUGGGCUUAUGGUCUAUUGAAAUGGUC
This is a long non-coding RNA of Panicum virgatum (switchgrass), 1340 nucleotides long. RefSeq lists it as uncharacterized. The record is from RefSeq and is a predicted model, not a curated record. Lineage: Eukaryota; Viridiplantae; Streptophyta; Magnoliopsida; Poales; Poaceae. The transcript is spliced from 5 exons.